GUGAGAUUGAGCUUUGGGAUAAUCUACUAAAUGUAGCUAAGAUCAACGCAACUCCUGGUUCUUCCUGCCACUGUGUUGAACCUGGGUGGUUCAGGUUAUGUUUUUCGACAUUAAGUGAGAAGGACAUUUCCGCAGUUAUGCAACGUAUCCAGAAAGUUUUGGAGUUACGUAAGUCUCUGAGUUAAGUUGCUAAUGAUAUGAUCCCUUACAUUAGUCAACCGUGUAAUCAUAGGUCCAAAACUUCUGCAGAGAUUUUAAGGGUCG
This 264-nucleotide unclassified non-coding RNA is filed under the name Hevea brasiliensis (rubber tree). Lineage: Eukaryota; Viridiplantae; Streptophyta; Magnoliopsida; Malpighiales; Euphorbiaceae. The record is from RNAcentral.